CUUCUGCAGAACAUAUACUAAAGUGAGAAUGAUACAGAGUAGAUAAGCAGCGCUCCUGCCAAGGAUGAUAAGAGCGAAAUCAUGAACCGUUCGAUAAUUUU
RNAcentral lists this small nuclear RNA (101 nucleotides) under Schistosoma japonicum. Lineage: Eukaryota; Metazoa; Platyhelminthes; Trematoda; Strigeidida; Schistosomatidae. The record is from RNAcentral.